UGGCUAAGGGUCUUGACCAGUGGGGCACUGAAGAAGCGAGCCACACCUCCAUCGUACGCCCUGCGAGGAGGAAAUUGCCACAGUCACCUCAACCUUCAGCAACCACCAACUUGAUCAAUCAGCAGCCAAUAACGUGAAGUCAUGACCAUUCACCAGCAAAAAGUUUAUGAUUCACCAAAAUAUUAGAUGAUCAUUAACAUUUUUAGCAAUAAUGUAUUUGUCAUUAAGGUGUUAGUGCAUUGGAAAAUCAUUUAAAGAAUGUAUCAGCUAAUUGAAGGCUUAUGUACAUUCUUCUAACUGCUGGAACUAAUAAGAUAUGAAUGAUGAAGCUUAUAUUCUUCUAGGAAUGAUAUAUACUUCACACAAAUAUAAAUAAAAAGCCUAGAUAAUUACAAAUAAGUUAUAUGAAUGAAGUUGACAGUAACUGAAAGAAGUCCGUUUAAAUAUGGUUGUCGGAAAGCCUCUACAGAAGGUGCCAUCUAAACACAGAUCCAAGGGAUACCGGUAGACUAGCUGUACUAAGAACCAUGGAGAGAGCGUUCUAGAGUGUACAUGUUCAGAGGCCGAAUAGAAUGAAUGAGUUAGACACAUCUGGGAAACGAAAAAGAAGCCAAUGUGAAUGGAAAACAAGGACCGUUACUGUAGGCCAUGAAAACAUUUUCUCUUUCUCUCCCCCUCUCUCUGUUUUUUGUUUGUUUGUUUGUUUGUUUGUUUUGGUUUG
RNAcentral lists this long non-coding RNA (721 nucleotides) under Homo sapiens (human). RNAcentral's name for it is "HSALNT0312690". Lineage: Eukaryota; Metazoa; Chordata; Mammalia; Primates; Hominidae. The record is from RNAcentral.